RNAcentral lists this long non-coding RNA (1352 nucleotides) under Solanum lycopersicum (tomato). Its description in RNAcentral is "long non-coding RNA (SLYC_LNC000300)". Lineage: Eukaryota; Viridiplantae; Streptophyta; Magnoliopsida; Solanales; Solanaceae. The record is from RNAcentral.
ACGAAAGAAAUUAGAAAAUUGGUAUUAAAUAUAUUAAACUUUACAUUUACAAUUGAAGUGAUAAAGACUGAUAAGAAUGGUGUUGCAGACUACUUAUCAAGACAAAGCUACUCAGACUGAGAACAAAGACGAAGAUACAAUUGAAAAGAUACUCAAAACCAUUAAUAAACUUUGUACUAAAGUGGAUAGUAUGGACAAUGAGAUACAAAAGUUAAAGACAAAUGAAGAUAACCUGAAGUCUAAAGUUAAUAUAAGCCAGCAGCAUGACUAUAAAAUGUGGAGCUACGUCGAUCGGGAGAUGGUAAAUUCCAGAGAUAAAAGGAGACGAUGUGAAACUCCCUAAAACCCAUAAUGUUUGUUUAAAUACAGCUGCAGGUAUAAGAAGAAAAGUUAGUGAAAAACCAGGAAAUACAAAUUUAACCAGUUAUUUGCAAAAUCAUUUAUUCAAAACACACCAAAACAAAUACCCAUAGAACCACAAACUUCUACCUAUGCAGUGAGUAUACAAAAUCAUAGUGAAAAUAAAAGAUACAAUUAUAUUACACAAACCUACAUUGAAAAUAUAUAUAGAAUCCAAGUCAAGACGAUAUAACUCAAAAAUUACAAGGAUACAAUAGACUUAUAAGCACAACAAAAAAACUAGUGCUAAUCUAGUUAAGACAUGUUACAGUUAUGGAUUACUAAGUACAGUAUAUACAUAUGACGGAGAAGAAAUCAGUGGACUACCAGAGUUAUACAAAGCAUUUAUUACAUAUAAAAGAGUUACAAAAGGAAACUCAUUUUAUAUUAAGUUUUAUACAGCAGCAGCAGAAAUACUAUAUGAGGAGGUAAAAUCUCCAAUUCAAGUUAUUAAGAUAGGAUUUACAAAAGAUAUGACCAUACCAGAGGAUAUUGGACAUCAGAAUGAAAUACCAAAGAUAGAAAUACCAAAUUUUUAUGCUAAUAAAAGAAUAAUUGGUAUAUCAACUAUCAUACAAGAAUUAGCAAAUAACUAUUUAAAUGGAAAUGUCAUAUGGAGCUAUUACGCUAGAGAUCAAGUUAUAAUAUAUUCAAACUCAAGGGAAUUCAGAAGAGCAGAUAUGGAUGAAGUUCAGCGACGAAUUUUAUCAUUACUAAAGCUAGAGGAACAACCUACAACACGAGCAUUAAAGAAAGAAUUUAUUUCAAAAGACUUAUUAAUUAGAUAUUGUAAAUUUAUUGGACACAAAUACCAAGAUCACAGAUGUUUCAAAUGCAAUGGAGAAGAUAAUGUUAUGUCAGAUAUUGAUUUGGAAUAAAGAUGAAGAGAUAAGAAUGCAAAAUAAGAUAAGGAUGAAGAAAAAGAGCUAUAGUAGACAAAGAAAAAUGACGAC